RNAcentral lists this ribosomal RNA (464 nucleotides) under uncultured bacterium. RNAcentral's name for it is "partial 16S ribosomal RNA". It matches the Rfam family "Bacterial small subunit ribosomal RNA", at positions 28 to 506 of the family's 1533-position model. The record is from RNAcentral.
GACGAACGCUGGCGGCGUGCUUAACACAUGCAAGUCGAACGGAAAGGCCCUGCUUGCAGGGUACUCGAGUGGCGAACGGGUGAGUAACACGUGGGUGAUCUGCCCUGCACUUCGGGAUAAGCCUGGGAAACUGGGUCUAAUACCGGAUAGGAGCCAUUUUUAGUGUGAUGGUUGGAAAGUUUUUUCGGUGUAGGAUGAGCUCGCGGCCUAUCAGCUUGUUGGUGGGGUAAUGGCCUACCAAGGCGGCGACGGGUAGCCGGCCUGAGAGGGUGGACGGCCACAUGGGGACUGAGGUACGGCCCAGACUCCAACGGGGGGCAGCGGGGGGGAAUAUUGCACAAUGGGGGCAAGCCUGGUGCAGCGGCCCCGGGGGGGGGAUGACGGCCUUCGGGUUGAAAACUUCUUUCGCUGGGGACGAAGCUUUUUGUGAGGGUCCCAAGAAAAAAAGCACCGGCAACCUACGU